GGCAUCACAACAGGGCCAACAAUCCAUCCAUUCUCUAUGCAAUCUCAAGCUCCUCAGCUAAUAGACCUCUCCCAUCUCCACAACCAGCAGCACCUAUCCCAACCAAAUGUUGUCUCCACGGGCCUCCGUUUAUCUUUCGGCGACCAACAACAAAUGCAACAAAACCACCAUUAUCAGCAGCAGCAACAGCAGCAACAACAGCAACAGAGUUUUGUAUCCCAAUCAUCUCCUUUCUUGUGCUUAUUAUCAGAAGAUUUUGCCACCCAAAUUAAACGCCAAAGAGAUGAGAUAGACCAAUUCCUUCAAGCUCAGGGAGAGCAUUUGAGGCGCACAUUAGCCGAUAAGAGGAAGAUGCACUAUCGUGCGCUGCUGAGCGUAGCGGAGGAAUCAAUAACCAGGCGAUUGAAGGAGAAAGAAGCUGAAGUCGAAAAAGCCACUCGACGUAACGCCGAAUUAGAGGCACGCGCCGCCCAACUCAGCGUGGAGGCACAGGUUUGGCAGGCAAAGGCUAGGGCACAAGAGGCUACGGCUGCAUCGCUGCAGGCGCAACUGCAGCAGGCGAUAAUGAGCGGAGGAGUGGCGGCGCAAGAUAACAGGAGAGGAGACGACGGCGGGCUAGGAUGCUCUGGGGGAGUAGAGGGGCAGGCGGAGGAUGCGGAGUCCGCUUACGUUGAUCCCGAGAGGGUGAUAGUGACAGCAGGUCCGAGUUGCAAGGGGUGCCAGAAACGGGCGGCAACGGUGGUGCUGCUGCCGUGUCGGCAUCUGUGUCUCUGUACAGAAUGUGACCAAGUAGUUCAAGCUUGCCCACUUUGCCUCCAAGUAAGAAAUUCCAGUGUAGAGGUUUUUCUGUAUUAGCCCAAUGCAGUAGGCCCGGGCCCAUUAAGAAGCCCAGCCCAUAUGGGAUUGAAAGUUUUUACAAGGAAAAGAAAAAAAAAGGAAAAAUAAAAAAAAUAAAUAAUUCUGAGUAAAAUAAUACUGAAAGACUUUUUUGAAUUUUUUUAAAAAUCCUUUUUGGUUCCCCUCUUGGAGUUAAGUACCUGGAGGUAAUGUACAUGGCCAUAUGGGUAUUGGCAUUUUUUUUUUAAUUUAAUUUAUAUAUAAAUUCUUUUAUGUUAAAAAUUAUUUGUUUUUUUAUUUUCCUUUUCUUCUUGUUUUAUAAUGCAAAUAAUAGAAAUUGUGUUUCUAAAUUGGUUAAAUGCAAAUCAUUCAUAUGCAAGCCUAUUAAACAAAGGCAAAAAGUUC
Molecule: unclassified non-coding RNA, 1242 nt
Filed under: Hevea brasiliensis (rubber tree)
Lineage: Eukaryota; Viridiplantae; Streptophyta; Magnoliopsida; Malpighiales; Euphorbiaceae
Source: RNAcentral